Molecule: unclassified non-coding RNA, 253 nt
Filed under: uncultured Thermomicrobiales bacterium
Lineage: Bacteria; Pseudomonadati; Thermomicrobiota; Thermomicrobia; Thermomicrobiales
Description: contains 16S-23S intergenic spacer region
Rfam family: Bacterial small subunit ribosomal RNA
Source: RNAcentral
GACGUAGGGGCCGAGCGUUGUCCGGAGUUACUGGGCGUAAAGGGCGCGCAGGUGGUUUGUCGCGUCGGAUGUGAAAGCCCCCCGCUCAACGGGGGAGGGUCAUUCGAAACGGGCAAACUGGAGGCAGGGAGAGGUCGGUGGAAUUCCCGGUGUAGUGGUGAAAUGCGUAGAUAUCGGGAGGAACACCAGUGGCGAAGGCGGCCGACUGGACCUGACCUGACACUGAGGCGCGAAGGCGUGGGGAGCGAACGGG